AUAAGUCUAAGCGAGAGCGCGUUAGAGCUUAUCUAUAUGAGGCAGCUUAGACAUAGUUAUGUUGUUUUAGACUUGUGUUUUGGGCAUGUGUGCCAAUGAUGAGACUAUAUACACUCUUGUUUAGUUUUCGGAUGUUUUGAUAUUACUUGACGAUUAUAUCUAUGUAGUUUAGUUCUUUUGGUUAGCCUGUGCAUCUAGGCCGUGUUUUCUCUUACAUAGAUGUGGCAUGAUACCCCUUUAGGUUAUAAAUCGCUUCCACUAUGUAUGUUUGAUAGUUGAGAUAGGCAGCUUUUGCGUUAAAGUUUAGCUAUCUCGGCUUGUAAAAAGUUGGGGUGUCACAGUGGUGGCGUGAAUAGACUCCUCCACCUUCCUUUCUUCUUUCUCGUCGAAGCAUUGGCAUGCCUGGGCAAGAACGGCGGUGGUGAUGCUCUCCUCUCGGCCUCCGGCGAGCUAGUGUCGGCGUGGACUAGUUAGUGGUGGCGAGAUUAAGAGUAACGUUCGUAUUGUUCUGGCCUUAGCAGGUUCAUGAUUAUGGACUUACUUAUGAGAUGAGCUUAGAGUUGGUGAUUGCUAUUGGAUUAAUGAGCUACAAGAGGAGGGAGUUGUUCUUGCGGAAGAUAGUGGCGGUAUAAUGUGUCCCGCCAAUCCCUUCCUCAUGAACAUAGCGGUGUAGUGCGGCGGUGAGGUGCGAUCCGUGGAUCCCCUCCGUUGCCUUCGUGCGGAUCAGAGUGGUGGACCGUGGCAUUCCGCCAGUCCGUUCUGUUAGUUCAAUCCUGGUUCUCAUCCAGUAUCUGUUUUGUGGUCUAUGGGCUCUGUUGAUUCAUCUCUGAUUCUGGAAUGUCUCCUGAACACAUUGUAUGGAGUAGUCUGAGCCGAGAGCACGAUAGAGAUAGUUCUUCUAUUUGCUAUGCUUAGACUAGUACUUGUUUUAGACAUUUGGGCACAUGUGCCUUAGUAUGGAUUAUGUAUUGACCGUUACAACUGUCUUUAUGUUUUGGGAUUGAUGUUUUAUGGAUUUUAGCCUGUGCAUCUAGAGUUGGCUUAAUCUAGAUGUGGCAUGGCACCCAUUAAGUUUUAAAUGCUUCCGCUA
Molecule: long non-coding RNA, 1090 nt
Organism: Ipomoea triloba (trilobed morning glory)
Lineage: Eukaryota; Viridiplantae; Streptophyta; Magnoliopsida; Solanales; Convolvulaceae
Exons: 4
Source: RefSeq, a predicted model, not a curated record